RNAcentral lists this ribosomal RNA (1521 nucleotides) under uncultured bacterium. RNAcentral describes it as "bacterial SSU rRNA". It matches the Rfam family "Bacterial small subunit ribosomal RNA". The record is from RNAcentral.
AGAGUUUGAUCCUGGCUCAGAGCGAACGCUGGCGGCGUGGUUUAGGCAUGCAAGUCGAGCGAGGCGGGCUGUGAUGUACGUCUAGCGGCGAACGGGUGAGUAACACGUGGAGAACUUGCCCUCGAGUGGGGGAUAACAUCCCGAAAGGGUUGCUAAUACCGCAUAUCCCUGCGGACUCGUUGGAGAUCGCAGGAAAAGCUGGGGACCGUAAGCCUGGCGCUUGAGGAUGGCUCCGCGUUCCAUCAGCUAGUUGGUGAGGUAACGGCUCACCAAGGCACCGACGGAUAGCUGGUCUGAGAGGAUGGUCAGCCACACUGGGACUGAGACACUGCCCAGACUCCUACGGGAGGCUGCAGUCGAGGAUAUUUUCCAAUGGGGGAAACCCUGAGAAUGCGACGCCGCGUGCGGGAUGAAGGCCUUCGGGUCGUAAACCGCUGUCAGGAGGAAAGAAUAUUGUCUUCGCGAAUAAGGAGGCAGUUGACGGUACCUCUGGAGGAAGCCACGGCCAACUCCGUGCCAGCAGCCGCGGUAAGACGGAGGUGGCAAGCGUUGCUCGGAUUCAUUGGGUGUAAAGGGUCGGUAGGCGGUCCGGUAAGUACUCGGUGAAAUCCUGCGGCUUAACCGCAGAACGUUCGGGUAGACUGUCGGACUUGAGGACCGGAGGGGCAGGUGGAAUUCCCGGUGUAAGGGUGAAAUCUGCAGAGAUCGGGAGGAACACCAGUGGCGAGGCGGCCUGCUAGACGGUCCCUGACGCUGAACGACGAGAGCGUGGGGAGCAAACAGGAUUAGAUACCCUGGUAGUCCACGCCGUAAACGAUGAGGACUAGGUGUCGGUUUGACUUCAAAUCGGUGCCGUAGGUAACCCAUUAAGUCCUCCACCUGGGGAGUACGUCCGCAAGGAUGAAACUCAAAGGAAUUGACGGGGCCCGCACAAGCGGUGGAACAUGUGGUUCAAUUCGAUGCUACACGAGAAACCUUACCUAGGUUGACAUGCUGGAAGUACUGAACCGAAAGGGGAUGGACCCGUUAAGUCGGGAGCCAGCACAGGUGGUGCAUGGCUGUCGUCAGCUCGUGCUGUGAAGUGUUGGGUUAAUUCCCGCAACGAGCGCAACCCAUGUCUGUUGUUGCCAGCCGGAGCCGAAAGGCUUCGAGGCACUCAGCAGAGACUGCCGGCGAUGAGCUGGAGGAAGGUGUGGAUGACGUCAAGUCAAUACGCUCCUUAUACCUAGGGCGACACACGUGUACAAUGGCGCGUACAGAGGGGUAUGCGAGCCCGUGAGGGGGAGCGAAUCCCAGAAAGCGCGCCCCAGUUCGGAUUGAAGGCUGCAAUUCGCCUUCAUGAAGUUGGAAUCGCUAGUAACGGCAGAUCAUCAUGCUGCCGUGAAUACGUUCCCGGGCCUUGUACACACCGCCCGUCAAGCGAUGGAAGCUGGGGACACCCGAAGGCAGUUGCCUAACCCGCAAGGGAGGGCGCUGACGAAGGUGAUACUGGUGACUGGCGUAAGUCGUAACAAGGUAACC